RNAcentral lists this ribosomal RNA (330 nucleotides) under Triticum aestivum (bread wheat). RNAcentral describes it as "partial small subunit ribosomal RNA". Lineage: Eukaryota; Viridiplantae; Streptophyta; Magnoliopsida; Poales; Poaceae. The record is from RNAcentral.
AUGGCGGGGCUGCAGCGGUCCAGCGGCACGUUCCGGCGGUCGGGGUCGUCGGGGAUGGUGUGGGACGACGACAGCCACCUCUCCGGGGAGAUCAAGCCCGUGCGGGUCGAGCGGAGCCGCUCCACGGGCCACGCCGGGUACAGGGCGUCCGCCGGCCGCGUCUCGCCCGCGCUCGACCCGCCCUCGCCCCGCGUCGCCGUCUGCGGCUUCUGCGCCUUCUUCCGCGGCGGCAAGGCCAAGAAGAACAACGACGGCAAGGCGGCCAAGUCCAAGGCUCGAACGGCCGCCGGUUCACCAGCAAGACCAAAGGUGAGGCGAGCCAGUGGCUGA